UUAAGCGACUAAGCGUACACGGUGGAUGCCCUGGCAGUCAGAGGCGAUGAAGGACGUGCUAAUCUGCGAUAAGCGUCGGUAAGGUGAUAUGAACCGUUAUAACCGGCGAUUUCCGAAUGGGGAAACCCAGUGCGAUUCGUCACACUAUCAUUAACUGAAUCCAUAGGUUAAUGAGGCGAACCGGGGGAACUGAAACAUCUAAGUACCCCGAGGAAAAGAAAUCAACCGAGAUUCCCCCAGUAGCGGCGAGCGAACGGGGAGCAGCCCAGAGCCUGAAUCAGUGUGUGUGUUAGUGGAAGCGUCUGGAAAGGCGCGCGAUACAGGGUGACAGCCCCGUACACAAAAAUGCACAUGCUGUGAGCUCGAUGAGUAGGGCGGGACACGUGGUAUCCUGUCUGAAUAUGGGGGGACCAUCCUCCAAGGCUAAAUACUCCUGACUGACCGAUAGUGAACCAGUACCGUGAGGGAAAGGCGAAAAGAACCCCGGCGAGGGGAGUGAAAAAGAACCUGAAACCGUGUACGUACAAGCAGUGGGAGCACGCUUAGGCGUGUGACUGCGUACCUUUUGUAUAAUGGGUCAGCGACUUAUAUUCUGUAGCAAGGUUAACCGAAUAGGGGAGCCGAAGGGAAACCGAGUCUUAACUGGGCGUUAAGUUGCAGGGUAUAGACCCGAAACCCGGUGAUCUAGCCAUGGGCAGGUUGAAGGUUGGGUAACACUAACUGGAGGACCGAACCGACUAAUGUUGAAAAAUUAGCGGAUGACUUGUGGCUGGGGGUGAAAGGCCAAUCAAAACCGGGAGAUAGCUGGUUCUCCCCGAAAGCUAUUUAGGUAGCGCCUCGUGAAUUCAUCUCCGGGGGUAGAGCACUGUUUCGGCAAGGGGGUCAUCCCGACUUACCAACCCGAUGCAAACUGCGAAUACCGGAGAAUGUUAUCACGGGAGACACACGGCGGGUGCUAACGUCCGUCGUGAAGAGGGAAACAACCCAGACCGCCAGCUAAGGUCCCAAAGUCAUGGUUAAGUGGGAAACGAUGUGGGAAGGCCCAGACAGCCAGUAUGUUGGCUUAGAAGCAGCCAUCAUUUAAAGAAAGCGUAAUAGCUCACUGGUCGAGUCGGCCUGCGCGGAAGAUGUAACGGGGCUAAACCAUGCACCGAAGCUGCGGCAGCGACACUAUGUGUUGUUGGGUAGGGGAGCGUUCUGUAAGCCUGUGAAGGUGUACUGUGAGGUAUGCUGGAGGUAUCAGAAGUGCGAAUGCUGACAUAAGUAACGAUAAAGCGGGUGAAAAGCCCGCUCGCCGGAAGACCAAGGGUUCCUGUCCAACGUUAAUCGGGGCAGGGUGAGUCGACCCCUAAGGCGAGGCCGAAAGGCGUAGUCGAUGGGAAACAGGUUAAUAUUCCUGUACUUGGUGUUACUGCGAAGGGGGGACGGAGAAGGCUAUGUUGGCCGGGCGACGGUUGUCCCGGUUUAAGCGUGUAGGCUGGUUUUCCAGGCAAAUCCGGAAAAUCAAGGCUGAGGCGUGAUGACGAGGCACUACGGUGCUGAAGCAACAAAUGCCCUGCUUCCAGGAAAAGCCUCUAAGCAUCAGGUAACAUCAAAUCGUACCCCAAACCGACACAGGUGGUCAGGUAGAGAAUACCAAGGCGCUUGAGAGAACUCGGGUGAAGGAACUAGGCAAAAUGGUGCCGUAACUUCGGGAGAAGGCACGCUGAUAUGUAGGUGAAGUCCCUCGCGGAUGGAGCUGAAAUCAGUCGAAGAUACCAGCUGGCUGCAACUGUUUAUUAAAAACACAGCACUGUGCAAACACGAAAGUGGACGUAUACGGUGUGACGCCUGCCCGGUGCCGGAAGGUUAAUUGAUGGGGUUAGCGCAAGCGAAGCUCUUGAUCGAAGCCCCGGUAAACGGCGGCCGUAACUAUAACGGUCCUAAGGUAGCGAAAUUCCUUGUCGGGUAAGUUCCGACCUGCACGAAUGGCGUAAUGAUGGCCAGGCUGUCUCCACCCGAGACUCAGUGAAAUUGAACUCGCUGUGAAGAUGCAGUGUACCCGCGGCAAGACGGAAAGACCCCGUGAACCUUUACUAUAGCUUGACACUGAACAUUGAGCCUUGAUGUGUAGGAUAGGUGGGAGGCUUUGAAGUGUGGACGCCAGUCUGCAUGGAGCCGACCUUGAAAUACCACCCUUUAAUGUUUGAUGUUCUAACGUUGACCCGUGAUCCGGGUUGCGGACAGUGUCUGGUGGGUAGUUUGACUGGGGCGGUCUCCUCCUAAAGAGUAACGGAGGAGCACGAAGGUUGGCUAAUCCUGGUCGGACAUCAGGAGGUUAGUGCAAUGGCAUAAGCCAGCUUGACUGCGAGCGUGACGGCGCGAGCAGGUGCGAAAGCAGGUCAUAGUGAUCCGGUGGUUCUGAAUGGAAGGGCCAUCGCUCAACGGAUAAAAGGUACUCCGGGGAUAACAGGCUGAUACCGCCCAAGAGUUCAUAUCGACGGCGGUGUUUGGCACCUCGAUGUCGGCUCAUCACAUCCUGGGGCUGAAGUAGGUCCCAAGGGUAUGGCUGUUCGCCAUUUAAAGUGGUACGCGAGCUGGGUUUAGAACGUCGUGAGACAGUUCGGUCCCUAUCUGCCGUGGGCGCUGGAGAACUGAGGGGGGCUGCUCCUAGUACGAGAGGACCGGAGUGGACGCAUCACUGGUGUUCGGGUUGUCAUGCCAAUGGCACUGCCCGGUAGCUAAAUGCGGAAGAGAUAAGUGCUGAAAGCAUCUAAGCACGAAACUUGCCCCGAGAUGAGUUCUCCCUGACUCCUUGAGAGUCCUGAAGGAACGUUGAAGACGACGACGUUGAUAGGCCGGGUGUGUAAGCGCAGCGAUGCGUUGAGCUAACCGGUACUAAUGAACCGUGAGGCUUAACCUU
RNAcentral lists this ribosomal RNA (2902 nucleotides) under Escherichia coli 2720900. Its description in RNAcentral is "bacterial LSU rRNA". It matches the Rfam family "Bacterial large subunit ribosomal RNA". The record is from RNAcentral. Lineage: Bacteria; Pseudomonadati; Pseudomonadota; Gammaproteobacteria; Enterobacterales; Enterobacteriaceae.